UUGGUGGCUGUUCCACACAUUUUGGUAGCUUCUGUGUGUACUCAUCUGUGUAUAUGCUGGGCGGCCUUUUGUUGCUCAGGGAAAUGGAAAAUCAUCCCAGCAGAAAAAAAAGCAUUCUCUUUUGUGGGUCCUCUAUGAAGACACCAGUACUUUCUAUAGCUGGUAUUUGUGAAGUUGCAGGAUCUUCAUGUCUUGGACACAUCCAGCACUCAUGACUGCUGUUUGCUGGUGGACUCAAAAGGAUAUCCCAGCCUCUGGAUAUCCUGGCUCAAGACAUCCUGGCAUUUGUUGCUCUCCAGUGGAAACUGCUUGCAUCCUUGACUUCGGUAGAGGGUUCCACCUAUGGGAGACAAACCUUCACCACCGUGGGUUCUUCCCACAGGCUGCAGUGCUUCAAGAAGUUCUCUAGCAUGGAGCAUCUAGAUGUCCUGUUCUUUGGGAAUGGGCUGCUCCAGUGUGGCCGGUCCCCUAUGGGCCACAAGUCCUGCCAGAAUGGUCUCUGAGCAGUCUUUAGAAACUGUGCUGGGAGAGGUGUUGCAGCCGUGCACCCUUCUGGCUCCCUGCCAUUGGUGGGAAAAAGCUGCCUGGAAGGGCAAAUAAGUUGUAUCCAACACUUCAGAUCGGUUCAGUUGUGGCAUUUAUAGUGAUAUAAAAAGAUGCCCCUUGAACAGAUGAGGACAUAAAAUUCAGGAACUUUAAGCAAGACAAUUUCAGCAGCUAAGUGUAUCCAUGUCAGAGAUUUAAAAUGAAUGGGCAGAGAAAAUAAAUACCAAAAAACUUCUACAUGUGGAAGAGAGGAGGUAUCUCACCUCUCAGACAAACCUCAUUUGAAAACUAUUUAGUAGAGUUGCAUCCUAAAAGAGGAGAACUGAAGUUGAAAUGGAGCAAGGAGUGCAGAGCAUUAACAUUUCUCUCUUAUUGAACAAACAUAUAAAUAAACUACAUUCUGACAGAUUGGUUUAUAGCAGUGGAUUUAGAGGAAAAGGAAAAGGAGAGAAUCAUGACAAAACAUUUAUUUUACAUUUACUUUGCAAAAUGAGAAAACUAUGUAGCAGUUUAAUAAAACAUAGUUCCCAUUAUAAUUAACUUUUCUUCAUUUGCAUUACAAUACAGUGCAGCUUGAACGCUCUGCAUAUAUCCUAAAGAUUUCAUGAGAAGAUCAGCUUUUAAUCAGCUAAGGUAUAAAGCUCUACAGUUACACUGAACCAAAGUUCCAUUGCCAAGACCACUCAGUGGAAGUUUUCUGAAUGUCAUUCCUAUUACUCAUUCAUUAAAAAUCAUUGGUUUUCAUUAGAAGCAGGAUUGAGCAAAGCACUUCAAAAACCAGAAACCUGAUGAUUCAAUCUGAGGGAUCAAAGUAUCAGAAUUUCUUGAGCUUUGCUUGCAUUAUCUCAACAAAAGUUGAGUGUGUCAGUUUAGUUUAGAAAACCAAUACUUUUUUAUUUUCUUUUUUCAAACAAAGAAGAAAUAUUGGUGGUUAAAUUCUGGGUGUUUGAUCUUAUGAAGACUCUCUGCAAAUAAAAUAAUAGGAGCAAGACAACU
Long non-coding RNA from Zonotrichia leucophrys gambelii, 1542 nucleotides. RefSeq lists it as uncharacterized. The record is from RefSeq and is a predicted model, not a curated record. The transcript is spliced from 3 exons. NCBI's taxonomy places the organism in Eukaryota, Metazoa, Chordata, Aves, Passeriformes, Passerellidae.